Chiloscyllium plagiosum (whitespotted bambooshark) is the source of this 1530-nucleotide non-coding RNA. Lineage: Eukaryota; Metazoa; Chordata; Chondrichthyes; Orectolobiformes; Hemiscylliidae. The record is from RefSeq and is a predicted model, not a curated record.
GUUCAGAUUUGUUUCAACUUUUGCAGAGUGCACAGCUUUGGAAAAAAAAACCUUUCCCUAUUGGGCUGCAAUAAAUGUUGGCAUGGGAAAGACAAUGAUGGACUUAACCAAAUAAACUUCACACCCACUCACCCCAUCCUCUUACAAGCUCUCACAAGUGGAUAAAGUGAUUUAGCAGGCAGAUCGUAACGCGUAGAGAUCAUUGAGUGAUUGAACGGAGCGAGGAAUAUAAAGUUACGGCUGCAACGAAGGUGCACAAAAAGCAAGAUCAACGUUAGAUUUGAAAUUUGAGAAGUCUAUACAAUAGCUGUUCUUGAACCUGUUGGUGUGUUUUAGCUUUUGUAUCUUCUGCCUGAUGGAAGAGGUUGAAGAGAUUAAAAGUGGGGCGGGGAGGUCUUUGAUGAUGUUGGCUGCCUUUCUGUGACAAGGAAAAAUAUAGAUGGAGUCAAUGGCUGGAAGGUCGGCUUAUGUGAUGGCCUGGUCUAAUUGGGGUAAUUGUCGCUUUGUACAAUCAUGUAAGAUGGACAAUGUCAGCUUAAGCACUUCUCCUCAUUAUUGUUUUCUGUUAACUUCAAGAGAAAUGAAAAUUGAGAGGCAUUUUAGCAUUGUAACAAUUUUAUGUCCUUUAUGCCAUCUUUUUCAACCUACAUGAAGCUUCCAGCCUCUACCUGGAAGGGCUCAAAAAGACCAACAAACUACCUCCGUUGUAUUUUUAAUGAAAUCUGAAAUCAAAACUGGGAAGUAAAUGAGUAAAAUAUGCCUUCCAUAGAUUUUUGGGAACAGACAACUGAAAUCUGAACAUAUCAAACAGACGAGUACAAAUCUUCACUACCACUGCACCACAAAAGCCCUCAAGACUUCAGUGUAAGAUGUCAAUGCUCUUGAGAUUGAAGAUUAUCAGAUCUCAUUGAAUGACAGAGCAGAAUCGAAGGGCUGAAAAGCCUUCUUCUGCUUCUGUGGCGUAUGGUCUGCAAUCAGUGAAACUGGGUAUGUUAGCCUGAGAAAGAAUACUAUUACACUGGAGGAUUUGCAGGAUCACAAGUAAUAUUUUUAAGAAACUUGAGUUGUAAGAUUUGAAGAUAUAGAUUUGGGAAUUGUCAUAGAACCUCUAACCCAUUGACUUUCAGAUGAUGAGAAUAAUCUGUGUGGAAUGAUGCCCAAUAGUUUGACAAUCAAAACGUAUUUCUUUAAUUCCAGUUGAUUGCACUUUCCAAAUAUUAAAUCACUGCCAAUGGUGUUUGUGCAAUCAGCUGUCAAAAUUCUCAGUUCUGGAAUAUCUGUCUUAAACCCCUCUGCCAUUCUAACCUACCUCCUUCCAGAUCUUGCUUAAAAUUCCCAUCUUCACUCAAGCUCUCGAUCAUCUGUCCUAAUGUUGAUUUCUGCACUUAGCGCCACCGUCUGUUUGAUUAUGCUCUUGUGAAGUGCCUUGAGAUACUGUAUUGGAUUUUAAGUACAUUAUAGAAACAAAUUACUGCGGUUGUUAUUUUUUCCCAGUGUAAUGGUAAUUAAGAACUACCCACAAGUUUACGA